GGAGAGUUUGGGGAUCUACAGCAACCAAAGGCUUUUCCCUGACUUCAUGUGACUGCGGCCGGCGAGCGAGUGAGUCGUGCGUGAGGAAUAAGAGGCAAGGCUUUUCCGAGAUUGUCUCAGCGAUGGCGCUUCGGUCGCGGUUCUGGGGGUUCUCCGUUUGCAGGAACCCUGGGUGCAGGUUCGCGGCCCUCUCAACCAGCUCCAAGCCGGCGGCGAAACCUGAAGUGCACCCUGUGGAAAAUGAAGCUGUCGCCCCAGAGUUCACCAAUCGAAACCCCCGGAACCUGGAGCUUCUAUCUGUAGCUAGGAAAGAGCGGGGCUGGCGGACGGUGUGGCCCUCCCGUGAGUUCUGGCACAGGUUGCGAGUUAUAAAGACUCAGCAUCAUGUAGAAGCACUUGGGGAGCAUCAAAAUGGCAAGGUUGUGGUUUCAGCAUCCACCCGUGAAUGGGCUAUUAAAAAGCACCUUUAUAGUACCAGAAAUGUGGUGGCUUGUGAGAGUAUAGGACGAGUACUGGCACAGAGAUGCUUAGAGGCGGGAAUCAACUUCAUGGUCUACCAACCAACCCCAUGGGAGGCAGCCUCAGACUCGAUGAAACAACUACGAAGUGCCAUGACAGAAGGUGGUGUGGUUCCACGGGAACCUCGGAGAAUCUAUGAAUAAAUGAAUAAAUGGAAGCAUUAAUUGUUUUGAACAUGUAAAUAUAAAACUGUCAGCCACUACAGCCAUCAAAAGAGACCAUCUGGAAGAACAGCCAGCUUGG
RNA transcript from Rhinopithecus roxellana (golden snub-nosed monkey), 762 nucleotides. It is a transcript of the gene named 39S ribosomal protein L18, mitochondrial pseudogene, with no coding region annotated. The record is from RefSeq and is a predicted model, not a curated record. The transcript has a single exon. NCBI's taxonomy places the organism in Eukaryota, Metazoa, Chordata, Mammalia, Primates, Cercopithecidae.